This 204-nucleotide ribosomal RNA is filed under the name Triticum aestivum (bread wheat). Its description in RNAcentral is "partial small subunit ribosomal RNA". The record is from RNAcentral. Lineage: Eukaryota; Viridiplantae; Streptophyta; Magnoliopsida; Poales; Poaceae.
AUGCCCAUCCUCCCAGAGGGAUGCGUGGUGUGCCUCAGCGACUUCCACGGCACCGCGCGUGUGCGCCGGCCGCGGCGGUGCCGGCACGUCUUUCACUUUGGCUGCCUCGACCGCUGGGCCGCUCACGGCCACAGAACCUGCCCGCUCUGCCGGGCUCCGUUCCUCCCGCCCUUCCUCCUGCCCAUGCCAGUCCCGACGUCGUGA